Molecule: ribosomal RNA, 233 nt
Filed under: uncultured bacterium
Lineage: Bacteria
Description: partial 16S ribosomal RNA
Rfam family: Bacterial small subunit ribosomal RNA
Source: RNAcentral
UGAGCAAUCUGCCCUUCUCUUCGGAAUAAGCGUUGGAAACGACGUCUAAUGCCGAAUACGACCUCCUUUCGCAUGAUCGGAGGUGGAAAGCUCCGGCGGAGAAGGAUGAGCUCGCGGCCUAUCAGCUAGUUGGUGAGGUAACGGCUCACCAAGGCGACGACGGGUAGCUGGUCUGAGAGGAUGGCCAGCCACAGUUGGGACUGAGACACGGCCCAGACCUCGUACCGGGGAGG